UGAGUCGGUCAGACGGCCGCGUCGGCGCCCUCGUGGCGUCGCCGAGGAACGUCCGGGCUCCACAGGGCAAGGUGGUGGGUAACGCCCACCCGGGGUGACCCGCGGGACAGUGCCACAGAGAACAGACCGCCUCCCACGACUCCGGUCGCGGGCGGUAAGGGUGAAACGGUGGUGUAAGAGACCACCAGCGGGCCAGGUGACUGGUCCGGCUAGGUAAACCCCACCUGGAGCAAGGUCAGACAGACUGUGUUGGAGGGCGGCCCGCCCGAUUCUCUGAUGAGAAGCACAGUCGGGUAGACCGCUGGAGGCGUGCGGCAACGUACGUCGUAGAUGGAUGGCCGUCACCCGUGCGGGGGCAACCGCGCGCGGGGACAGAACCCGGCGUACCGACCGACUCAUCCG
This 402-nucleotide RNase P RNA is filed under the name Oerskovia paurometabola. RNAcentral describes it as "RNase P RNA component class A". It matches the Rfam family "Bacterial RNase P class A". From Rfam's summary of the family: Ribonuclease P (RNase P) is a ubiquitous endoribonuclease, found in archaea, bacteria and eukarya as well as chloroplasts and mitochondria. Its best characterised activity is the generation of mature 5'-ends of tRNAs by cleaving the 5'-leader elements of precursor-tRNAs. Lineage: Bacteria; Bacillati; Actinomycetota; Actinomycetes; Micrococcales; Cellulomonadaceae. The record is from RNAcentral. RNAcentral also lists the same sequence under 1 other name.